RNAcentral lists this ribosomal RNA (465 nucleotides) under Vreelandella stevensii. RNAcentral's name for it is "partial 16S ribosomal RNA". It matches the Rfam family "Bacterial small subunit ribosomal RNA", at positions 338 to 795 of the family's 1533-position model. Lineage: Bacteria; Pseudomonadati; Pseudomonadota; Gammaproteobacteria; Oceanospirillales; Halomonadaceae. The record is from RNAcentral.
CCUACGGGAGGCAGCAGUGGGGAAUAUUGGACAAUGGGGGCAACCCUGAUCCAGCCAUGCCGCGUGUGUGAAGAAGGCCCUCGGGUUGUAAAGCACUUUCAGUGAGGAAGAACGCCUGGUGGUUAAUACCCAUCAGGAAAGACAUCACUCACAGAAGAAGCACCGGCUAACUCCGUGCCAGCAGCCGCAGUAAUACGGAGGGUGCGAGCGUUAAUCGGAAUUACUGGGCGUAAAGCGCGCGUAGGUGGCUUGAUAAGCCGGUUGUGAAAGCCCCGGGCUCAACCUGGGAACGGCAUCCGGAACUGUCAAGCUAGAGUGCAGGAGAGGAAGGUAGAAUUCCCGGUGUAGCGGUGAAAUGCGUAGAGGUCGGGAGGAAUACCAGUGGCGAAGGCGGCCUUCUGGACUGACACUGACACUGAGGUGCGAAAGCGUGGGUAGCAAACAGGAUUAGAUACCCUUGUAGUC